Non-coding RNA from Ancylostoma duodenale, 47 nucleotides. The record is from Rfam. NCBI's taxonomy places the organism in Eukaryota, Metazoa, Nematoda, Chromadorea, Rhabditida, Ancylostomatidae.
CCAACGGCCCUCUUUAGGGCCACAAUUGAUAUCGAAUACCUUCACGU